Molecule: long non-coding RNA, 805 nt
Filed under: Chrysemys picta bellii (western painted turtle)
Lineage: Eukaryota; Metazoa; Chordata; Testudines; Emydidae
Description: lncRNA (ENSCPBG00000011416.1)
Source: RNAcentral
CCCCAAGACACGAGGCUCUCCCGCUGGAAGUGGUGGGUGGGACCCUGAGCACCCGGCUCCUUAGGGCAGCCACAGGCUGCUGACGAGCGGCGGUAGGGCCUUGCCACUCCCCAGCCUCACGCCCCCGGCAGGUGCGGGUGCGGGAGAUGACAGCUCCCUUCCUGUCUCAGACCUCGCCGCGCCGUGGGAGGCUGCUUCCCCGCCCGGGAGGAGGGAGAGCCUGGCGCUGCAGCGGAGCCCGAGGGAAACCGCUGAGCCAGAGAAAGGGACACGGAGCACAGCCCGCUGUUCCCUCCCGCCGCCCGGGGUCCGCACAGCCCCGGUCCCGAUCUCGGGAGAGCGCGAGACUGGUUCUGCUCCGGGCUCGCCACCAUGCAGGAUGAAACUGAGCUAAGGGAAAAGACCUCCGGGAAGUCAGAAGAGACGGAGUCCUUGGUCCCGAACCAGAUGAAGUGGGACUUCAUCCUAGUAUGUGACAAACACAAGCCUGGCAGCAAGAAGGAUAAGAGGGAGGAAUUCUUGAACAAGUUGAAAAGCAAAGGAUUUACCAUCAAGAAAAUCGAGGACAAGAAACUAUUCUAUGGGGUCCAUGCCCCGAGUGAAAUCUUCCAAAAAUACCAAAAUCUGCUGAAGAAGUCAGACAGCGAGUUUCAGAAUCACGACACGAAGGAGGUGACCAUCCCCACCAGGAUACGUAUCGUCAACUUUAUCCUGCAGAACACAGAGAUUUCUUCUGAGGGUAAGGAAGUGCUUCCUCCAUUCUAGCUCACUCUUGCCGUUCCCAUGUCACAGUCACAAAUACACA